This 1131-nucleotide ribosomal RNA is filed under the name Guibemantis pulcher (Tsarafidy Madagascar frog). RNAcentral describes it as "partial 16S ribosomal RNA". It matches the Rfam family "Bacterial large subunit ribosomal RNA", at positions 578 to 2485 of the family's 2925-position model. The record is from RNAcentral. Lineage: Eukaryota; Metazoa; Chordata; Amphibia; Anura; Mantellidae.
AAAACAGUAGAGCUUUUUCUCGUACCUUUUGCAUCAUGGUCUAGUUAGUCUAAUUAAGCAAAAUGAAUUUUAGUUUAAUUCCCCGAAACUAGGUGAGCUACUUCGAAAUAGCCAUAAGAGCUAACCCGUCUCUGUUGCAAAAGAGUGGGAAAAUUUCCAAGUAGAGGCGAUAAACCUACCGCACCAAGAGAUAGCUGGUUACUCAAGAAAAGAAUUUUAGUUCUACCUCAAGUUUUUUUGUUUUAAUAAACCUUAACUAAACUUAAGAGCUAUUCAAAUAGGGCACAGCUUAUUUGAAAAAGGAUACAACCUAUUAUAUUGGGUAAUUAAUUAAGAAAACCUGUCAAGUGGGCCUAAAAGCAGCCAUCUUUCAAAAAGCGUUAAAGCUUUACUUUUAUUCUUUUAAAUAACCUUACUACUUUAUAACCCAUCAUCAAUAUUGAGCAACUCCAUAAAAAUAUGGAAGAUAUAAUGCUAGAACUAGUAACAAGAAGUAGCACUUCUCCAAAAUGUAAGCCUAAGCCACCUAAGACAUCCUACUGGCAAUUAACGUUUAUGAACCCAUUUUAUUAACACCACAAGAAAACCUUAAAUACCCCAACGUUAAACUUACACUAGAACAUUUAUGGAAAGAUUAAAAGAAAAAGAAGGAACUCGGCAAAUAUAUACCCCGCCUGUUUACCAAAAACAUCGCCUCUUGACUAAAUAUAAGAGGUCCAGCCUGCCCAGUGACAAAAUUCAACGGCCGCGGUACCCUAACCGUGCGAAGGUAGCAUAAUCACUUGUUCUUUAAAUAAGGACUUGUAUCAACGGCACCACGAGGGUUAAACUGUCUCCUUUUUCAUAUCAGUGAAACUAAUCUCCCCGUGAAGAAGCGGGGAUAAUUUUAUAAGACGAGAAGACCCCAUGGAGCUUUAAACCCAUCUACACUCCGCUUAACUCUACCUUUAAACCUCUCGGAUCCUGUAUGUUCUGGUUUUAGGUUGGGGUGACCGCGGAGCAUAAACUAACCUCCACAAUGAAUAAAUUUCUUCUUUAUCUAAGAUUAACACCUCUAAGAAUUAGUACUCUAACAUAAAAUGAUCCGAUAUUCGAUCAACGAACCAAGUUACCCUGGGGAUAACAGCGCAA